GCCUAACACAUGCAAGUCGAACGAUAAAGUGGAUCAAUCCACUACUGGGGUGCCCACCGCGUGAGUAACCCGUGACUGGGCGUCCCUCCAGUGGGAAUAACUUCGGGAAAUCCCGGGUAAUACCGGAUGGGGGCACGGCUGGACGAUGUAAAUCACAGGAGCCACUUCAGUUGGGGAGGGGGUCACCGGCCUUGGGUUUUAAGACCGGGUAACGGGUCUCCAAGGAUGUGAUCGGAUAACGGGCUGUAAAAGCCGCACGGCCACCCUGCAAGUGGGAGAAGGGGGGAAUUUUGCGGUAGGGACCCAGCCGGCUUCCUGCUGGCGGGGGGAAAGCAUCGCGAUAACGGUCUUGUGCCACGUUGAAGUUCCCCUGCAAUGGAGCCGCGCCGCGAGUGGCCAG
Molecule: ribosomal RNA, 400 nt
Filed under: uncultured bacterium
Lineage: Bacteria
Description: bacterial SSU rRNA
Source: RNAcentral